UAAAAAUUUAAGAAAUGAAUGCUUUUAAACUUUUAAAGAAAAUUAAGAAUACAAUUGACUUGAUUACUUGAUGAAAGAGUCGAGCAGUAAUAAUUUUAUCACAAAUGAUAACAUUCUCCUUUUACACUUGUAGAGCAAUGGCAAUAAAAAAUACCAAUGCUAUGAAAGUUUUACUAACCCAAUACCGAGUGAGAAACUUAGUCUGAAAGUUAAAGAGAUCACCAGAAGAGAGCUCAAACUUGAGCAGUUAUUUAAAAUAACAAUGCACAUUUCUAAUAAUUUUCCUAUUUUUUAGCCUAAACUUGUACAACAUGACCCAGAAGCACUACACAUUUCUGAGGAUUUAAUCCCAAAAUCAUUUAGAGUGGAGAA
This 372-nucleotide unclassified non-coding RNA is filed under the name Hevea brasiliensis (rubber tree). Lineage: Eukaryota; Viridiplantae; Streptophyta; Magnoliopsida; Malpighiales; Euphorbiaceae. The record is from RNAcentral.